GCUUUGUCAGCCUUAAUUACCCCCGUUCAUGAAUGAAUACCGGAUACACAAACAGCAAUUCAUUUGUACUUAACUUGGUGCAUAUGAUCAGCUGAUCCUAUGACACUCUUGGAUCCAGUUUGAAGAGUUAUGUCUGUUUGCCAGCAAAGAGACAUUAGCGCACUGUGUCUCUCCUUCCUGCUCCACAGGGACCCAUGUGGAACAGACAGGAUGAAGCAAGAGUAGUGCUUUUAUUUGGACAGUGACGUCACGGGAAGUCCGCUGUUACCCCUUUUUCCUGGUUGUGCUGGAAAUGAUGUACUGAGGAAAUGGCUGCCUCUAAAUCUCCAAAACAAUCUUUAACAACCAAGUGACAGAAGGGCAUCAAUAAAUCCUCCCCAAGACUGACUUCCUGGAUGCGCCCGUUUAAUCCUGACAAGCUUAUGGCAUAAGAGAGUCCUGUCCGGAAGAGUAGCACUUAGAAUUGUUGUCCGAGUGCCAAAAAGAAGCCCAACGGAUUUACUUUCACAAGUGGGGCAUUACAGCUAACGCUAUAAUGCUGUGGUUGAUAUACAGGUCCUUCUC
Molecule: long non-coding RNA, 564 nt
Organism: Girardinichthys multiradiatus
Lineage: Eukaryota; Metazoa; Chordata; Actinopteri; Cyprinodontiformes; Goodeidae
Exons: 3
Source: RefSeq, a predicted model, not a curated record